GCAUGGUUUCAUUAUUAAAGGAUUCCGGUAAAGGAUGGGGAUGCGUUCCAUUAGGUUGUUGGUGAGGUAACGGCUCACCAAGCCUUCGAUGGAUAGGGGUUCUGAGAGGAAGGUCCCCCACAUUGGAACUGAGACACGGUCCAAACUCCUACGGGAGGCAGCAGUGAGGAAUAUUGGUCAAUGGGCGGUAGCCUGAACCAGCCAAGUAGCGUGAAGGAUGAAGGCUCUAUGGGUCGUAAACUUCUUUUAUAUAAGAAUAAAGUGCAGUAUGUAUACUGUUUUGUAUGUAUUAUAUGAAUAAGGAUCGGCUAACUCCGUGCCAGCAGCCGCGGUAAUACGGAGGAUCCGAGCGUUAUCCGGAUUUAUUGGGUUUAAAGGGAGCGUAGGUGGACUGGUAAGUCAGUUGUGAAAGUUUGCGGCUCAACCGUAAAAUUGCAGUUGAUACUGUCAGUCUUGAGUACAGUAGAGGUGGGCGGAAUUCGUGGUGUAGCGGUGAAAUGCUUAGAUAUCACGAAGAACUCCGAUUGCGAAGGCAGCUCACUGGACUGCAACUGACACUGAUGCUCGAAAGUGUGGGUAUCAAACAGGAUUAGAUACCCUGGUAGUCCACACAGUAAACGAUGAAUACUCGCUGUUUGCGGUAUACAGUAAGCGGCC
Molecule: ribosomal RNA, 657 nt
Filed under: uncultured bacterium
Lineage: Bacteria
Description: bacterial SSU rRNA
Rfam family: Bacterial small subunit ribosomal RNA
Source: RNAcentral